UAUGUGAUCGUCUCUCGCAUAUCAAUAAGCGGAGGAAAAGAAACUAACAAGGAUUCCCCUAGUAACGGCGAGUGAAGCGGGAAGAGCUCAAAUUUGAAAUCUUAAUGGGUUUCCCUUUACGAAUUGUAGUUUAAAGAAGUGUUUUCUGUUGAUGUUUUGGUAAAAGUUCUUUGGAAUAGGACAUCAUAGAGGGUGAGAAUCCCGUAUUUGACCUUUACUUUCAACUUUGUGAUACACUUUCAAAGAGUCGGAUUGUUUGGGAAUGCAGUCCAAAAUGGGUGGUAAAUUUCAUCUAAAGCUAAAUAUUGGCGAGAGACCGAUAGCGAACAAGUACCGUGAGGGAAAGAUGAAAAGAACUUUGAAAAGAGAGUUAAACAGUACGUGAAAUUGUCAAAAGGGAAGCGUUUGACACCAGUGUUGUUUUUCUGAAAAUCAAUUAAAGAACUGUUUAUGCUAAGCUGUUUAGACUUUAUCAGCUAUCUGUUUAGUUUUGAGCUUUUCUUUAAUGCACUUUUCAGUUAACAAGUCAACAUCAAUUUCUUUUGCUGUAAAAAAGCUUGAGGAAGGUGGCUUGAGAUUCGUCUUAAGUGUUUAUAGCCUCUUGCCUAUGCAGUCGGAGAGAUUGAGGUCUGCAGCGUAGAUCCUUCGGGGCUAAAUGCAUUUGUGCUAAGUUAUAGCAUUUCAUAGACAACUUGUUGACUAUGAUUUGUCUUGUAGUUUACUCGCUUAUGUUAUUUUACCUACGCUUAGGAUGUUGAUAUGCAUGACUGAUA
RNAcentral lists this ribosomal RNA (773 nucleotides) under uncultured Neocallimastigales. Its description in RNAcentral is "partial large subunit ribosomal RNA". It matches the Rfam family "Eukaryotic large subunit ribosomal RNA", at positions 24 to 642 of the family's 3401-position model. The record is from RNAcentral. Lineage: Eukaryota; Fungi; Neocallimastigomycota; Neocallimastigomycetes; Neocallimastigales.